This is a non-coding RNA of Salmo salar (Atlantic salmon), 54 nucleotides long. NCBI's taxonomy places the organism in Eukaryota, Metazoa, Chordata, Actinopteri, Salmoniformes, Salmonidae. The record is from Rfam.
UAUGCACUCUACUGUAAGUCGCUCUGGAUAUUAGCGUCUGCUAAAUGACGUAAA